Danio rerio (zebrafish) is the source of this 84-nucleotide non-coding RNA. The record is from the annotation of a RefSeq genome assembly. Lineage: Eukaryota; Metazoa; Chordata; Actinopteri; Cypriniformes; Danionidae.
GUCAGAAUGGCCGAGUGGUCUAAGGCGCCAGACUCAAGUUCUGCACACCGAAUGGAGGCGUGGGUUCAAAUCCCACUUCUGACA